AAAUCAUGUACCUUAAAGGGACAAAAAAUGAAGCAGAAAUAUGAGAUUUUAAACAGCAGUGUGAUGUUUGCCAGCUACAUUGCAUCAGCUUGAUGGCGCAAAGAGCCAUCAAUAGAGAGAGCAAAGGCAUCAAGAGCUUC
Long non-coding RNA from Thalassophryne amazonica, 140 nucleotides. RefSeq lists it as uncharacterized. Lineage: Eukaryota; Metazoa; Chordata; Actinopteri; Batrachoidiformes; Batrachoididae. The record is from RefSeq and is a predicted model, not a curated record. The transcript has 4 exons.